Long non-coding RNA from Eurytemora carolleeae, 139 nucleotides. RefSeq lists it as uncharacterized. The record is from RefSeq and is a predicted model, not a curated record. Lineage: Eukaryota; Metazoa; Arthropoda; Copepoda; Calanoida; Temoridae. The transcript is spliced from 2 exons.
GGCGGAACCAGACUUCCUUCCAUUAUCCUGUAUACAGGAUAAGUCCGCAAUCUCUCCCUCCCACAGGAGAAGACUAAGCCUAGUUGUGAGUAAGCCUGCCGUCAAGAUUGAUGAUCUGCACCACCAUCAUGAAGUUCUA